Molecule: non-coding RNA, 72 nt
Organism: Salmo salar (Atlantic salmon)
Lineage: Eukaryota; Metazoa; Chordata; Actinopteri; Salmoniformes; Salmonidae
Source: Rfam
UCCCGUGUGGCUCAGUUGGUAGAGCAUGGUUUUUGCAACACCAGGGUUGUGGGUUCAAUUCCCACAGGGGAC